RNAcentral lists this ribosomal RNA (253 nucleotides) under uncultured bacterium. Its description in RNAcentral is "partial 16S ribosomal RNA". It matches the Rfam family "Bacterial small subunit ribosomal RNA", at positions 524 to 776 of the family's 1533-position model. The record is from RNAcentral.
UACGGAGGAGGCAAGCGUUAUCCGGAAUUAUUGGGCGUAAAGCGUCCGCAGGUGGCACUUCAAGUCUGUCGUCAAAGACUGGGGCUUAACCCUGGAAAGGCGGUGGAAACUGAAGCGCUAGAGUGCGGUAGGGGUAGAGGGAAUUCCUGGUGUAGCGGUGAAAUGCGUAGAGAUCAGGAAGAACACCGGUGGCGAAAGCGCUCUGCUGGACCUUAACUGACACUGAGGGACGAAAGCUAGGGGAGCGAAUGGG